AUGGGGAAACUGAGGCACAGAGCACCGGCUGCGGCUGCUCCGGCACCCCGGGCCGUCGCUCUCUGCCCCUUCCCAGAGCACGUUUUACCGCUUGGAUUUGGAGAAGCGGCUCAGUUUUUCCCUCCGCUGAAGGCUGCCGGUGGCAUCGGUUUGCUCGCGGGGCACCCGCUGCUCCGGGGCAGUGGGUUUUGCAGCCCUGGCUCUGUCUUCCUCCACCUCCCGGUUUUUUUGUCAUAUAUGAUCCCGCAAAAAAAAAAAAAAAUAUUAUUUUUGUCAUAUUAUAGCAAAUCUCCGCUGCGUUGCAUUGAUGCAGCCCGGAAAACUUCAGCGCUCGCUGCGUGCGGAGUCUUUCCCGGCGCCUGCGCGCUCGCCGUGGCGAGGGCUGCGGGGUCUCGUCCCCGUCUGCUCCGGCUCCCGGCACUGUUUCUCUUGCCCCGCGAGCCACGUCCGGGAGGAUUAGCCCCUUGCCGGGGGUCAGGCGGGGGGGGGGUCGGGAAGAGGUGGUGGCGCUGGUGCAACGGGCCCCUCAGCCACGUCCUGCUGCCGCUCCGUCUCGCCGGAGCACGCGGGAAAAGCCGAGUGACCGCGUUCCCUUUUGUCGGCUCGGGGCUGGCGCUGGGCCGAAUCCGCGUGACUUCCCGAUGCCCCUCUCCGGCCCUGAACCGCGGCGUCUUCGGCAGCGUGCCGGGGGUGGGGGGGGCCGUGGGCAGAGCCGGGGAGGGCAGGGAUGCUCGGGACCCUGCAUCCGCGCGCCCCUGCGCCGGGGGCCAGGUGCCGCUUGCACCUUGCCUGCACCUUGCCUGCACCUUGCCUGCACCUUGCCUGCACCUUGCCUGCACCUUGCCUGCACCUUGCCUGCACCUUGCNNNNNNNNNNNNNNNNNNNNGCACCUUGCCUGCACCUUGCCUGCACCUUGCCUGCACCUUGCCUGCACCUUGCCUGCACCUUGCCUGCACCUUGCCUGCACCUUGCCUGCACCUUGCACCCCUCUCCGACCGGGACCAGGGUGUUUUCCGCUCCCUCAUCCAGUGCCUGGGGAAAUCCUGCUUGCACCCACGUGCCUGA
This 1065-nucleotide long non-coding RNA is filed under the name Apteryx haastii (Great spotted kiwi). RNAcentral's name for it is "lncRNA (ENSAHAG00000004868.1)". Lineage: Eukaryota; Metazoa; Chordata; Aves; Apterygiformes; Apterygidae. The record is from RNAcentral.